UACGAAGGUCCCAAGCGUUAUCCGGAUUUAUUGGGUUUAAAGGGUGCGUAGGCGGAUUAUUAAGUCAGUGGUGAAAGCUCCAUGCCUAACAUGGAAAAUGCCAUUGAUACUGAUGAUCUUGAGUACAUUUGAAGUGGGCGGAAUGUGUCAUGUAGCGGUGAAAUGCUUAGAUAUGACACAGAACACCGAUUGCGUAGGCAGCUCACUAAACUGUAACUGACGCUGAGGCACGAAAGCGCGGGGAGCAAACAGG
This 253-nucleotide ribosomal RNA is filed under the name uncultured bacterium. RNAcentral's name for it is "partial 16S ribosomal RNA". It matches the Rfam family "Bacterial small subunit ribosomal RNA", at positions 524 to 776 of the family's 1533-position model. The record is from RNAcentral.